GGUCGAGUGUCAGAAUAAACACCAUCUACUUCCUCUUCCUCAUCACUCCUGCUUCACUGCAGACUCACACAGCAUCUCUGAACCUUCUGACUUAAGCAACAGAAAAAAUGGUUUUUGCUGUACCACUGAGGAUCCUUCUGAUCUGUCUGCUUCACUUUUGUUGGGCUGUAGGUGAGGAUGUGAACCCAAAAAUUCUCAUGGAUAUUGUAAAGAACUUUGAGAAUCAGUUGGGUAACGUAGGACAAUACGCUGUGGCAUUCAGAGUUGAGAAGAACACAUGUCUUGAAGGUUCUGACUAUCCAAGUCAGGACUUACUAACUGCAGUGAAACAAAAAUUUCAGAAAAAUGAGGUUUAUGUGACUGGUAAUCUUAUUGCUGCAAAGGCUGAUAAAGAUAAACAAGACCAUUCAGAGUUUCGCCUGAAGAAUUAUCUGAAGAACAUCUUGAAUGGAAAAGAUGAAUGUGUGGUUUAUUUCACUGUAAAUUCACCCUGUUUGAAUAAAUGUGUAUCAGAAUCUGGGGAAUUCAGCAUUAAAGACAAUCUUGAAAAAUUACAAAAAUAUGAGGGAAUUAAAGCCUUUGCAUUCAAAAAAAUCUGGAGAGAGGAUAAAAAGGAGGCGGUGAUAAACAGACUGAAGGCAAUAGCAUCUGCUUUGCCAUAUUAUCAGUGUGAGAAAAACAAAGCUGAAUGUGAUCGCCUGUAAGUAAUGCUUAUACUUGACAGUUGCUUUUCUCACACAUAGAUGUAGUUUUAUUUAGCUGAGGAUUUUUUUUCUGUUUUAAUUGCAGUAAACAUUAAAAUUUGCAAAUAAAAUCUAUAAUCUGGAAAAUGCAUGAAUUGUGAUAUUGCGUGCUUGAUUAGCUGGCAAUUAUUGUUAGAGUAAACUAAAGUCAGCAUGUCUGCUUACUGCUGGAGCAAAUAAAAAUACAUUUUAUCAAGCAUCA
This is a long non-coding RNA of Ctenopharyngodon idella (grass carp), 945 nucleotides long. RefSeq lists it as uncharacterized. The record is from RefSeq and is a predicted model, not a curated record. NCBI's taxonomy places the organism in Eukaryota, Metazoa, Chordata, Actinopteri, Cypriniformes, Xenocyprididae. The transcript has 3 exons.